This 261-nucleotide long non-coding RNA is filed under the name Ictidomys tridecemlineatus (thirteen-lined ground squirrel). RNAcentral describes it as "lncRNA (ENSSTOG00000033964.1)". The record is from RNAcentral. Lineage: Eukaryota; Metazoa; Chordata; Mammalia; Rodentia; Sciuridae.
CCCCGAGGAAGAACCGGGCUUCCGAGCCGGGCUGCGGGCUGCACCCCGGGAGGAGCCGGGGCCUCUGGAGCGGGGCUUCGCGCUGCGCCCUGCACCACGGGGAGGAGCCGGGCUCCGCAGCGGAGCUGUGCAGCCCUGGCGGCGACUCGCCGAGGGGCUCCACUGCCGCUGGAGCCAGGCUGAACUCCAGAGUCUUUAUAGAGGACCCUGUUUGCUGCUUCUGUGGCUCACAGCUCUCACCCUCCUGACUGCCCUGGGCCC